Long non-coding RNA from Saimiri boliviensis boliviensis (Bolivian squirrel monkey), 542 nucleotides. RefSeq lists it as uncharacterized. The record is from RefSeq and is a predicted model, not a curated record. Lineage: Eukaryota; Metazoa; Chordata; Mammalia; Primates; Cebidae.
GAGUAGCAGUGACAUUCCAAGACCUGGAGAGAGGCCGCCCGAGUGGAAUUUUUCUUGGUCACUCACACGUGGUGCAGUCUGAGGCACAUUAUUUAACCCACAUGAACUCCAGCUGGCAACCUAGAAUGCGGAUGAUGCUACUGUCUACCUCGUGGGUUAUUAUUACCUUAUGGAGGACAAAAGAAGCCAACCCAUGUACAAUGCACCACUCUCUACCCAAGGCUGAGAAGGGUUCACCGUAGUGGCUUCUGUUUUUGAUGCUGUGUCAGUAAGUCAUCAGUUUAAUGAAAUGAGCAACACCUGAGCCCUCUACCUGGGACAUGUGGAUGAGAUUCCUGAGAAGGAAGCUGGGCGGUUGUUUCUUGGUUUGGGGCAGAGGAGGAAGUGUUAUAUACGGUGUUGAGAGGCUGGCCGUGGACCUCACCUUUCCUCUGUAUGACUGUCCUUCAUGUGAUAGGACCACACUUGUCACCAUCAUACCUGCAUCCCAGGGUCAGUCUCCACCUCAUCCAGAGGCGGUUAAUAAAUGCUCCUUUAAUUGA